GAAAUGCGAUAAGUAAUGUGAAUUGCAGAAUUCAGUGAAUCAUCGAAUCUUUGAACGCACAUUGCGCCCGCCAGUAUUCUGGCGGGCAUGCCUGUUCGAGCGUCAUUUCAACCAUCAAGCCCCCGGCUUGUGUUGGGAACCUGCGGCUGCCCGCAGGCCCUGAAAAACAGUGGCGGGCUCGCUGUCACACCGAGCGUAGUAGCAUACAUUCUCGCUCAGGGCGUGCUGCGGGUUCCGGCCGUUAACGACCUUCAUAACCCAAGGUUGACCUCGGAUCAGGUAGGAAGACCCGCUGAACUUAAGC
RNAcentral lists this unclassified non-coding RNA (304 nucleotides) under plant metagenome. Its description in RNAcentral is "partial contains 5.8S ribosomal RNA, internal transcribed spacer 2, and large subunit ribosomal RNA". The stretch from base 1 to 105 matches the Rfam family "5.8S ribosomal RNA", at positions 50 to 154 of the family's 154-position model. The record is from RNAcentral.